This 465-nucleotide ribosomal RNA is filed under the name uncultured Klebsiella sp. Its description in RNAcentral is "bacterial SSU rRNA". It matches the Rfam family "Bacterial small subunit ribosomal RNA", at positions 338 to 795 of the family's 1533-position model. Lineage: Bacteria; Pseudomonadati; Pseudomonadota; Gammaproteobacteria; Enterobacterales; Enterobacteriaceae. The record is from RNAcentral.
CCUACGGGCGGCAGCAGUGGGGAAUAUUGCACAAUGGGCGCAAGCCUGAUGCAGCCAUGCCGCGUGUGUGAAGAAGGCCUUCGGGUUGUAAAGCACUUUCAGCGGGGAGGAAGGCGGUGAGGUUAAUAACCUCAUCGAUUGACGUUACCCGCAGAAGAAGCACCGGCUAACUCCGUGCCAGCAGCCGCGGUAAUACGGAGGGUGCAAGCGUUAAUCGGAAUUACUGGGCGUAAAGCGCACGCAGGCGGUCUGUCAAGUCGGAUGUGAAAUCCCCGGGCUCAACCUGGGAACUGCAUUCGAAACUGGCAGGCUAGAGUCUUGUAGAGGGGGGUAGAAUUCCAGGUGUAGCGGUGAAGUGCGUAGAGAUCUGGAGGAAUACCGGUGGCGAAGGCGGCCCCCUGGACAAAGACUGACGCUCAGGUGCGAAAGCGUGGGGAGCAAACAGGAUUAGAUACCCUUGUAGUC